GGUGUCCAUGUGUCACAUGAUAUCUUCAACGUUGUUAUUAGCUGCCACGGGUGUCCAUGUGUCACAUGAUAUCUUCAAAGUUGUUAUUAGCUGCCACGGACUUACUGACUGCUUUUGGUUUUACGCCGCUUUUAG
Haliotis rubra (blacklip abalone) is the source of this 135-nucleotide long non-coding RNA. RefSeq lists it as uncharacterized. Lineage: Eukaryota; Metazoa; Mollusca; Gastropoda; Lepetellida; Haliotidae. The record is from RefSeq and is a predicted model, not a curated record. The transcript is spliced from 4 exons.